Long non-coding RNA from Mandrillus leucophaeus (drill), 251 nucleotides. RefSeq lists it as uncharacterized. The record is from RefSeq and is a predicted model, not a curated record. The transcript is spliced from 2 exons. Lineage: Eukaryota; Metazoa; Chordata; Mammalia; Primates; Cercopithecidae.
ACUUGGGAACACACAUUUCUGUUAAACAACUUAGAAAAUGAGAGGUGGGUUGGGGCUUGAAGUACAUGGGAGACACGAAUGUUGUAAAACUGUCAGGAGACGAAAAAUUCCUUUCUGAAGUUUAUCUUCUGUGAAAGGGGUGAGGGCAGUUUGUUUACUAAGUAAUGUUGCCUUUAAGUACAGUGGUGUAUUUUUAUUCAAGAUUGUGCUCUUUUAUCAAAAUCCUAUGGAAAUAAAUGUUCUGGGAUCAU